Molecule: ribosomal RNA, 505 nt
Filed under: uncultured bacterium
Lineage: Bacteria
Description: partial 16S ribosomal RNA
Rfam family: Bacterial small subunit ribosomal RNA
Source: RNAcentral
GACGAACGCUGGCGGCGUGCCUAAUACAUGCAAGUAGAACGCACAGUUUAUACCGUAGCUUGCUACACCAUAGACUGUGAGUUGCGAACGGGUGAGUAACGCGUAGGUAACCUGCCUGGUAGCGGGGGAUAACUAUUGGAAACGAUAGCUAAUACCGCAUAAUAUUAAUUAUUGCAUGAUAAUUAAUUGAAAGGUGCAAUUGCACCACUACCAGAUGGACCUGCGUUGUAUUAGCUAGUAGGUGAGGUAACGGCUCACCUAGGCGACGAUACAUAGCCGACCUGAGAGGGUGAUCGGUCACACUGGGACUGAGACACGGCCCAGACUCCUACGGGAGGCAGCAGUAGGGAAUCUUCGGCAAUGGACGAAAGUCUGACCGAGCAACGCCGCGUGAGUGAAGAAGGUUUUCGGAUCGUAAAGCUCUGUUGUAAGAGAAGAACGGGUGUGAGAGUGGAAAGUUCACACUGUGACGGUAUCUUACCAGAAAGGGACGGCUAACUACGUG